AUCAUGAAUAAUAGCUUGGAAAAUAAGACUGAUCUUCCCUUGAGAUCUAAUGCUUAACUCCAAAGAAUAAAAGGAGGGAAGAUUCUCUCCACAUGAGAGAAUCUAAGCAUCAAUCCUGGUGUGUAUGGAACCCCCGAACACAACAGAACAGACAUAUAUGAAGACUGCCAGCUAAGCUGCACAUAUGUGGAACUGGGAAAGAAUGUAAGGCUUUCUGCUCCAAAGCACACAAACUUCAAGUGAGCGAAAGGAAAAUCUCAUUGGCCCUGAGUGGAAUUAAGGAGCACAUUUUUCAUGGCAAAGCCAGUAGAGGACAACAUAAUCACCAACAUCAGAUCAGAGCCAUGAUGCUCUGUAAUGAGUAGAACCACAGGCAGAACACCCCUGCUGAGAGCCAUCAGGCCAUGAUGUAUUGACAUGGUCACUUGUGGAAGCCAGAAGAUCACAAAGUGGCUCCUUGGCAGAAUGGAAUCAUCCACUCAGCCCCCUCUAUGAUGAAAUGGGAACUCAAAAGAGAAGUGAUUCGCCUAAGGUCAUCCAGUUCCUGAGCAGCAAAGAAAGGACUAGAGUCCAAACCUUCAGAUUCUUCCAAGAGGUGGUGCUUCUUGGCUCGACUUUGAUCUUCCCGGACUCAUUUUCUCAUCUUCUCCUAUGGGCAAACCCACCUCACACCAUCAGGUGCUACAAGGUGCCAGGAAUGCAAAGAUGAUUGGAAUGGUCCUAUUUUCAAGGACGGUGUAAGAGAGGAAACUUAGACUUAAUCCACCAGAGGAAGAAGACAAGCAGAUUCAUCAUGCUGGAAGGCCAUCUUGAGCGGGGGAAGGGCAGGAAGGAAAGAGAAUUCCAUAGAAGGAACAGAGAAACUGAGGAGAUCCAGACAGUUGAAUUCAUUUCUCUUUGGGAAGCCCACCAGGGAGGUCGAUUUGAGUGAACCUCUGAGCCUUGAGCAUCCUCCUGUGAAACAAGACCCCAGUGUCCAGUGAAGACAACCCAGUGAAUAGAACUUUGCCAGAAAACUAUUCACCACAAGAAGAAUUCCUCUAAAUCCCUCUAAACAGUCCUUGAACUUGAUACUAGCUAGAACAGCUAGGAGUCAGGACAGCUCUCACAACUGAUCCCAGGCAGGAUGUUUGGGGAGAAGGAGUUCAAUUGUUAUUAUUAGGGACUUCCUAUAUUCCACCUUCCCAAUUGCCUUAUCCCACAAUUCAGUUGCCCUACCUUUCAUACCUUUCUUUAGAAUAAAUAGCCGUUUACUAGAUCCA
Molecule: long non-coding RNA, 1262 nt
Filed under: Monodelphis domestica (gray short-tailed opossum)
Lineage: Eukaryota; Metazoa; Chordata; Mammalia; Didelphimorphia; Didelphidae
Description: lncRNA (ENSMODG00000039061.1)
Source: RNAcentral